RNAcentral lists this ribosomal RNA (641 nucleotides) under uncultured bacterium. RNAcentral's name for it is "bacterial SSU rRNA". The stretch from base 1 to 545 matches the Rfam family "Bacterial small subunit ribosomal RNA", at positions 338 to 873 of the family's 1533-position model. The record is from RNAcentral.
CCUACGGGAGGCAGCAGUAGGGAAUCUUCCGCAAUGGACGAAAGUCUGACGGAGCAACGCCGCGUGAACGAUGAAGGCCUUCGGGUCGUAAAGUUCUGUUGUUAGGGAAGAACAAGUGCUAGUUGAAUAAGCUGGCACCUUGACGGUACCUAACCAGAAAGCCACGGCUAACUACGUGCCAGCAGCCGCGGUAAUACGUAGGUGGCAAGCGUUGUCCGGAAUUAUUGGGCGUAAAGCGCGCGCAGGCGGUUUCUUAAGUCUGAUGUGAAAGCCCCCGGCUCAACCGGGGAGGGUCAUUGGAAACUGGGAAACUUGAGUGCAGAAGAGGAAAGUGGAAUUCCAAGUGUAGCGGUGAAAUGCGUAGAGAUUUGGAGGAACACCAGUGGCGAAGGCGACUUUCUGGUCUGUAACUGACGCUGAGGCGCGAAAGCGUGGGGAGCAAACAGGAUUAGAUACCCUGGUAGUCCACGCUGUAAACGAUGAGUGCUAAGUGUUAGAGGGUUUCCGCCCUUUAGUGCUGAAGUUAACGCAUUAAGCACUCCGCCGUCGGGAGGUACGGUCGGCGAGGACGUAGAAACGUUAAAAGGUAAAGUUAGUACGGCGUGAGACGUGCCGAACGGACGACGACGAGGGGAGGUAGG